Molecule: long non-coding RNA, 15080 nt
Filed under: Triticum aestivum (bread wheat)
Lineage: Eukaryota; Viridiplantae; Streptophyta; Magnoliopsida; Poales; Poaceae
Description: long non-coding RNA (TAES_LNC018650)
Source: RNAcentral
CUCCCCAGUUGCCUGUGCUGUUCCCCUCUGUGUAUGUAUUUUCUGGCGUGUAAAAUGAUGUAUGAAUGCAUGAACUGGGCAGUUGCUCCUUCAGAACAGAAGCUCUGAUAUCUGAACUUGAGAUGUCAUGAGCUCUCAACUGAACAUGUAAAUGAUAAUGGCAGGCUUGUCUUGCUUGAUCAAAAGGAAUGAACAAUGGGGAUAAUAAUACUUAGGCCCUGUUCGGUAAUGGUCCGCUCCGGAAAUCUACGGAGCGGGUAAAUGGCAACUCCACCAUUUUAACCGACAGCUCCGCGAACUCCGCAACCGGAGCUGCGGAGCUGCGGAGCAGAGCAAUGCCAAACAGCUCCUUAUUGGAUGCCUUCAUUGCACUGCCAAGUUUCUGUAUUAUGUUGUGCUGAAUGAAGCUUAAUUAUUCAGACUGAUAAUGAUAAGAUUGUAUGCACAUGUGUUCUAUUCUAUGGUGGAGCAAAGUGAAGCAGAUCAAGCAAUAUGGUUAUGCUAAUCUUGAUGCAAAUCCUAGAUAGAAAAACCUAAUGCCCAUCUUUUGGUAGUAGUAGAUGUUUGCACUGCACUGUCAAAAUGUGUUCUGUCAGCAGUCCGGUAGUGAAGCAGAACAGAGCAAUACUCUGCUACUCCACCAACCAAACCCCUUCACUCCCCCACACCCACGCCGCCCCGUCCCAAAGCGAAUCCGGCAGCGGCGCCGGCCACCGCCCCACGGCUCGUUCCAAGCUCGAGCGUAUCCUAGGGGAAACCGCCGGCGGGCGUCAGAAAAAGAUGCUCUUUUAGGGCAUCUUCAAUGGUUGUAAGAUAGUUGUUGGUAGACUUUGUCACAUAGAGAUAUAAUACUCUUUCUUUACAACUUCAAGUGAGUGUUACUGUCUUAUGCAUAUUCGGUUUCCCUUAUUAGUCGAGGUUAUAGUAAUGUAAUUGAUGAGUUAUGUAUGCAUGCGCAGCAUUCAUUAUAUUCUUCUAGAGAUUAAGCUUGAGCAGGAACUAGUAACCGUCUUAGACUCGAGACAAAAAAUUGUCUUGUAGAGAAGCACGCCCCGGUCACCGUCGCCGGCGCCAGGAUCUGUGAUGGUGAGUGGCUCUACGCCGACGCCGACGGCAUCCUCGUCUCCAGGACCGAGCUCAGCGUGUAGUUCCUCUCUGUGUAUACAUUUACUUGUGUACACAUGUGUUCUUGAUCAAACAAUGUGCUUAUGUUAAUUAAUCUUGACGGAGAUCUUAGUUAGCAAAUCUGAUCCCCAUCUUUUGGUGUCAGAUAUUUGUACUGAACUGUCAAAAUGUUUGUUAUGUUCUGUCAGCAGUAUUUUAGGGAAGCAGAGCAGAGCAAUCCUCUGCUACGAGUGACGAAGUGGUUUUUUGAACUCCCACCAACCAAACCGCAAACCUCUUUUUACCGGUGCAGGGAUGUACCGGUGCUAAAUCCACCCUUAAAUUCUUGGAGAUUGGUGCACACUGUCUACAUGCAUACUAAUAUUCCUUUGUAUUCUGUUGAACAUCAUCAUCUAUGAAAUGUCUUGUCAACUCUUGUCAGCAUUUUUUGUCAGUACGAUGCAUGCAUGGCUCAGACAUACUCUCCUCCUCUGGCUCCCACAACAAAGGUACCCAUUUAAAUUUCAUUUGAUAUUUUCAAUCGUUCAUAUCUUUUAAACCAAAAUUACAUAUGUGAAAUAUUUAUAUAUUUGAUCUCCGGGUGUCAAGACCUUUAGAACAAGCUCAAUUUUGGAUACAUUUCCAAUACAUUUAAUUUUCAACAUUUCAGUUAACUUAUUUCACUCUAUAUAUUCUGUGUGAAACUGCUUAUUUCAGUGUUUGAAACUUAUUUUACUCUAUAUAUGGAACAUAUGAAACAUGUUAUUUCACUCUGUGUGAAACUUCUUAUGUCAGCCAGAUUUAAAAAUAACAUGUUUCACACAUUUCAAAAAGUAGCUAUUUUCAUAUAUUUCACUUAGUUCAAAAAUCUAAUUUCACUAAUUUCGUAAAUUCUAAUUAUUUCAGAGAAAUAUGUGUUUGAAUGCUAUUUUUUAUAUGAGUGAAAUAGUUUUUUAAUUGAAAUAUUAUUUUCGUGAAAAAUCCUUAUUUAUUUCUGCAUUGUGAGUGUAAUGUGUUUUCUGAAACUAGUGAAAUGAGCGAAAUCUAUCUUUUGUAACGAGUAAAAUCACUUUUUUGAAACAAGUGAAAUAUAGUAUUUCAUUUGACUGAAUGUAAUGUGUUUUCUGAAAUAAGUGAAAUUAGUUUCUUGAAACGAGUGAAACAUAGUUUGAAAAUAUAAUUUUUUUGUGAUGUGUGAAAUAUAUUUUUAAACAAGUGGAAUAUAGUACUUCAAAUGAGUGAAUCUAAUGUGUUCUCUGAAAUGAGUGAAAUAAGUUUUUUCAACUGAGUGAAAUCAGUUGUUUGAAAUAAAUGAAAUAUUAUUUUGAAAUAAUAAAAUCAAUUUGUAAAUGAGUGAAAUCUGUAUUUCAAAUUAGUGAAAUAAUUUGUUCGGAAUGAGUAAACUUUAUUUAUUGAAAUGAGUAAAAUCGUAUUUUUUAUAAUGUGAAAUUAAUUGAAACAGUAAAAAUUCAAUCUAGCCAAAUUGUAUCCAAGACCGGUCUUGUUUUAAAGGUCUUAUCACCCUGAAUUCAAAUGUACAAAAAAAUUUAUUAAUGGAAAUUUCGUUCAUAAGUUAUUAACCAUUCAAAAUAUGACGAGCAAAUAAAAUGCAACUACUUUGUUUGGGGGAGAGAACCCAUGCACCGUCCUUUUAAUCAGUCACCCACUAAGUCACAUCUAAAACUGCCACACAUCUGACAUGCACAAAUGUAUUCCUUUGUGUACUGUUUGUAUUGCAUAGUAAAUUAUUUUUACUUCAUACACAAAAAGCUGGCACGAAUAUCAGAGAAAGCAAUUGAACGGCAGAUUCUCCACCGGUAGCUCCCGGCUCCGGUAAAAAAAACUUAGUCACCAACCAAACCCCCUUCACUUCCCCCGCACCGCCCCUUCCCAAAGUGAAGCCGACGGCGUUUUUAGGGGGAGAUCAGCCACCCCUCAUCGCCAUGAUGGUGCUGGCGCCGGGCGUCAGGCUCUAAACCCACCUAGGGUUUCGGCCGGCGGCGAUGCGGGUCGCUAGUGUGCCGCGCAACUCCGUCGCCACCGGGGCGGUGUUUCUGUGAGUUUGUUUAGGUUUUGUGUUCUGCUCAGAAAGACGAGAUGAUGACGGCUCUAUGAAGGUGGAAUAAAUUUCUCCUUGCCCAUCCUAUUCCGGUGAUGCCUCUAGCGUCUUCGAAGGGUGUGUGCAGGUGCGUCUCCAACGGAUCUCGCGGCAUUCCGUCGGUGCUGGUCUUUGGUGGAUCUGCUUGGAUCCAAUCUUCGUCUCCGUGCGUGUGUCUACAGGUUGAAUACUUUUGAUCUAUACUUCUCUUCAUCAGUGACGACGGUUGAUCCGAUGAUGUGGGGCCUUAGCACGAUAACUUGCUGACUGUCCACUACAAGUUUGGCCCGACUCGAGUGAGGGAGGGGCUCUCACCCCAGUGCUUAUAGUCGUUAUUAGGUUGUUUAUGGACAUGGAUGUAAUUUAUUUAUUUAUUUUUGUGUUCUUUGUACUGUCAUGACACGAUGGAUAGGUAGAAGGUUUCCUCAAGAAAAAUGUGAUGGAAAUCCUAGCUAAAGCAUUCUAUCGCCUAUUUUUCUCGUGAGAUGUUUCUUUGCUUUCACCCCUUCAAAGAAGUUCUUCACUUCGGCUCGCACGAUCUUCGCGUUCUCCUCCUCGGUCCUCUCGUAUGGUAACUUCUCUGGAGUCUUCAGAGAAGGACCAAAUCUGUAUUGCCUCCCGCCUCUGGCAGCUGUACUGCUAGACGCCGGCAGAGCAGACGGAGCGGCUGCGGCUGUCUUCUUUCCUUGCUUAGGAGGCGGAGGAGAAGGACUACGACGCGCCGGAGCAGCCGCAGCGGCGGCGGGUCUCGUCCGCCCUUGCUGACGAGGCAAAGAAGGAGGAGGCUGGCUGCUCUGGCGCGCCGGCGCUGGCGGAGAAGGAGGCGGAGUGUCGCCACGCGCCGGAGAAGGAGGUUGAGUGCCCUGAUCACUCGCCGGAGGAGGAGGCGGAGGAGGAGGCGGAGUGCCCUUACUCGCCGGAGCCGUCCAGUUCGGAAGCUUGAUGAGCUCCUUCCGCCAUAGGCAUGGAGUCUUCAGAGCAGAACCCAGCCGAGUCUCCCCUUCACCGGUAGGGUGGUCAAGCUGGAGCUCCUCAAAUCCCUCCAUUAUUUCAUCCACCAUCACCCUGGCAUAUCCUUCUGGAAUCGGCCGGCAGUGGUAGGUUGCGCCGGGUUCAGUAGGUAAAACAGAGCCAACAGCCGCCUUGACUUUGAAGUUCUGCCAUUCCGCCAUAAGGUGGCAAUGUUGAGACUCCGUGAUAGCAUCCACGGGGUAGCUAGCAGGAGCCGCAUGCUCCAGCUGAAGCAGCUCGGUGGAAGCCACGCUGCUUCUCCGCUGAGAUGGUGGUGUAGCUUCGGGGGCAGUUUCGGCAUCUCGAUUGGAUGCCUACAUGGCGCUGUAAAAAUAGUGUAUUUUAUUAUUUAUUAUGUUCAUAAAGUUUAUUCUAAAUGAUAACAAAUAUUAUCUUUGUCUCAAAUGUUUAUCCUACGUUUUUAUUUAUAUAUAGACGAAAUCAUAUUUAGUUAUAUUCGUAUCUAUGUAAUUUUAAGACACAUAUUUUGAGACGGAUGAAUGGAGGAGUAGUAUGCCUUUUGGUGAAGCAGAGCAGAGCAAAAACAAUACUGUACUACUCUGCUACUCCACCAAACCCCUUGGCUUGCUCCCAAACCCAAACCGAUUCCGGCGGCGCCGCCGGCCGCCGACCACCAUCCCCACAAUCCAUUCCCAGCUCGGGCGUAUCCUAGCAAGCGAGCGUCAGAAAAAAGAUGCUCUUUUAGGGGAAACCAGCCAGCCCCCGUCGCCAUGCCGGUGCUGCCGCCGGGCUCCAGGCUCUAAACCCAGCUAGGGUUUCGGCCGGCGGCGAUGCGGGCCGCCAGUGCGCCGCGCUACUCCGUCGGCGCCGGCGCCGGGGCCGGGGCGGUCUUCCUCGGCGACGGCGACGUCGACCCCGAGGCCCUCACCGAGGAGGACAGCCUCGUCGGCGGCGGCGACUCCAACUCCGUGGUUGGUGAGUGGCUCGUUCCAAGCCGCGCGCACCUGCUCAAACUGAACCGCGUCCCAUGGCUGGUUAGCUCGUUCCAAUCUGUGGUGAAACCCAGUGUUGCCCGGAGCAGAGCAGACCGUCUCAACCUCUAGUGAGCACCAAAUCCGUGCCGGAAAACAGGUUAUCUGCGCGGCGGUUCGACUAGGAAGGAAGUUACCAGGCUUUUGCGCGGCGUUAAUGGUCACCGCAUUGUGUCCAUAUUUGGUCCGAGCAGCCGGUGCUGGCUGCGUAGUGCUACAAGCUAUGCUUUUCUUGUCAGGAUUUGCCAUUUUUACCAUGUGUUUCGUUGUAGUAACCAGCAUGUGAACCUAAAUGCAUAAUGACAAGUAAGAAGGCUCUGUUCAUUGCUGGGCAUUUACUUCGAAAAAUGCCUUGUAUUUAAAUGCAAAAGUACAAGAUUUCCGUGCCAGAAAUUUUGCUUUGGCUUUGUGGAAUGGGGCGGUAGGGAAGUGUCAUUUUGUGCAAUGAAAAUGCUGUGUAUUAAUUUUAUUUUGUAUUUUUCAAGGUAGACCAUUGGCAUUUACUUUGACCGGCCAAAAAUGCGGAGGUAGGAAUGUGUUGUUUUGUGAAAUUAAAACAUUCUGUGUAUUCAUUUAUUUUUCAAGAUUGACUGUUGGCAUUUACUUCGACCGACCAAAAAUGGAUGCAUUUCCUGUUAGUGCCCCAGAAUAGCAUGUUUCUUGUAACAAAACACAACGCCAUGGUUUUGAGUGUUAACCGUUGCUUUAUCUGCUAGGAUUGCUUGCAUGGAUCAUACAGCAGCUCUUUAAGCCUCCAUGGUGUCAGAGUUGACGACGAACACUCGGCUCUUGAGAACAGCAGCAGGCCUCCUAGUCAUAUUAAUAUCCUAACACCACAAGGUACAACUCUUUCUGUUAUUCAUCCGGCUCUGUCUGCUGUUAGUGCUUUCUCUGUGCCUGAUUCCCCUCUUCAUUACAGAUGUUGUACCCAUCGAAGUGGCACGGUCUAGAUUCCUGGACAUCAUCAUUGACCAUUUUAUUGGCCAGAAUGUUAUCGAGGUGGGAGAACCCUCUCUCUAUGACUCUAUCCUGGCCAGCAAUAGAAUCAACAAAAGAAAGCAACAAGACGUACAAUACGAAGGCGACCCGAGGUUUGCUUUGCCCUUGAUGUACAUAGCCAACUUGUAUGAGUCCUUGGUGAGCGACGUCAAUGCACGCCUUGCUUCCUUGACUGGAUCCCGUGAGAAAACUAUGGGGGUAGCUCUUGAAGCUGCCGGCGGCCUGUACAGGAAGCUGACCCAAAAGUUUCCCAAGAAAGGUAUGAUGAUUAGUGAACAGCAAUUUGUAUUUGGUCGCGCCCACUCUACUCUGGUUAUUUGUUCUUCUCAUCCGAGUCUCCUUUGGUGUUACGCUACAGGAAAUUGUAGCUUCAGGAGGAGGGAGCUGGCUACUUCUAAUGCAACAAAGACAAAGUUUCCUGAACUUGUGGUACAGGAAGAAAAGCGGGUCCGUUUUGUUGUAAUCAAUGGUUUGGUGAUCAUAGAGAGGCCAAAUAAUAUGAGAAUGCAGGAUGCGGAAUGGUAUUUUCUCUGAUUCACCCUGUAUUUCCUUCCUUAUGCAUGUGUUGGUUGUUCACCUGUUCUAUAUUGGGGGCAUUAUAGGAAAUUUCUUGUACUUGAACUUUCCUAUUGAUUGUCUUUCUGUUAUCCAUUGGUGGCAAAGUUGUAAAAAACUUUCUUGGACCAAAUUAUGCUUUUAGAAAGCCAUUUCUGAGUAACCUUUUCUUCUACUCUGUUCCAUAUUAGUUUUCGCUGAAACGGAUGCAUCUAGACGUCUUUCAGUGCUAGAUACAUCCGUUUGAGCGACAACUAAUAUGAAACGGAGGGAGUAGUAAAUAUGGACUUGAAAUUGAUAAGUUGCUUGAUAAUAUUUCUUACUAUAAACGAUGCUCUCUUGUAAAUUGUGUGAUGAAGUUACUGUUUUCAUAAGCCAAAAUACUGCAUAUUCUUGAAUUGGUGGCCCAGUCAGUUAUAUAUAAUUUUUUUUCCUUUGACCAAAUUCUGCUUCUAGAAACCCUUCCUUGUUUUGAACUUACAGAGUCUGUAUUAAAUAUGCACUCGAAACAGAUACAUUGCUUUCUAAUAUUUCUUACUAUAAACCAUCGUCUCUCGUAAGUGGUGUGGAUAAAGUUACCUUUUUCAUAAGCCAAAUAAUGCAUAUUCUUGAAUGACAGACUCUGUUCCUUUGUUGGCAUUUACUUCGAACAAAUCAUAUAUAUUUUGGCUGGUUCACAAUUUUGUGGAAGGCAAACUUUGAGUAUUUUAUAUGCACCAAUAUGUUUGCCUCAACAGGGCUUAAUUGUACCAAUCUGCGAAGUUGUUUCCUUGCUUAAGGUAACUAUAAGAAAUUGGCUGUAUUCCUGUCCGGUUGUUUCCUUGCUAAAGAUAACUUCAGAAGUUUGCUAAUAUAAUCAAAUCUUCGGUUAAUUAAAUUAAUUAUAAUUUCAGGAAAAAGCUUUAUUUAUCCUCAGUUUCCACUUUGACAGUUGGUACCCUCUGAUAUGCCAUGAUUUAUGUAUUUCUAAGUCUUGAUUUUUUCUCUCUAAAUGUGCAGGUUCAAAAGAUUGACCGGUCGAAAUGAAGUGGCCAUUUCAUCAAGAGAUUACAAAUUCUAUUCACCUCGACACAAGUACAGGCGUACCCUGCAGCCAGUAUUUGACAUUCCUAGCACGUCCGUAAGUGCAUACUGGAUUUAAGAUUCUAAUGUUGCAGCUAAACCAAUUUGGUUUUUCGUUUAAUUGGUUCCUCUGUCCAGGUUUUGUCAGAGGAUGAGACUUCUCCAUUGGUUUGUUCUUCAGAAUUUCGUCCACCAUUCGAGGUAACUCUUAUCCUUUGAUACCUGUUCAUGACUAAAUGACGACAUCCCAAAUUCACAGUGACUUCUCCUGUCCUACUUUGUUAAAUGAGAUUAUUUUUUCUGAUUCAUCCACCUUUUCAGUUGGUCGCCACUAAUAGCUUGCUCUCUUCCAGAUGCAAAACCAACACGAGUCAUCAUCGAAGCGACACAUUGAACAGAUAGAAAGUCAACCUUACUUGCAAUUUCUCGAUCAAGCAGAGCAUGACAACAUCCAGCAAAACCAACAUAGUUCUCAGUUCCCUCCUAUUCAUCCAUGUGCAUCGUCCUCGCAACUGUCAGAUAACCCCCAGCAGCACCAGUCCUAUCUAUCUCCGCAUCUAUCUUCCAUGCAAGCUGGACACAGCCACCUUGGAGGACGCUCGAAUAUUCUUGUGAGUGAAUCUUUAUUUUUAGUACUGGCCAAGUCACAUGCCAAAUAUAGUACUCCCUCUGAUCCAUAUUACUUGUCGCUCAAAUGGACGGAGGGAGUAGUAUCAAAACGUUCAUCAUGCAGUAAUUAGUUGCAAGUCAUCCUGUCUGUCUGCACUGCAUUAUUUACGCACUGCAUUAUUUCGACAGCUGAACAAAAACAGAAAUCUACUUUUAAUGUUCAAAUCAGGUGCACUGUUAUCGUGAAUUGUCUUGAUGGUAUGUUUUGUAUUUCAGCCAAACGGCCCUGCAAAGUUCUGCGACGAGUGCGGUUUGCCGUAUUUAAGGGCGGCAUCCAAGUUCUGUUCAGAGUGUGGCACCAAGAGGCUAGGGAUCUGACUGAGCGAUGCAUAGUUAAGGAAUUUUGUCGCAGUUCAAUGUUGUUUCUUUUUUCUGCGGGGAGUUCAAUGCUGUUUCAGCCAUGAUGGGUUUUGGUUGUUGUAACUGAACUUGAGUUCACUCUUGCUUCCUUCAAUGGAAAUAUAUAUCGAUGGAUGUGACUCCCUCAUAUAUCAGCUGUUGUUAACUGCUGUGCCUUACUAUGAUCUAUAUACUUUUUCUUUAAGUGAAAACAAUUGAUGGAAUAAAUGGAAUAUUAGCCCUUGUAGUCAGCAUACAGUUUACGGAAAAAUGAGCCAUUUGCUUGUUUUGUGUAAAUCUAGGGGAAUUUUGCGUAAUCCAUUUAUCACCUUUUCAUUCUAGAAUUGUCUACUAUAGAUCUCAUAAAAAUACAUUACUUGUCAAACAAACUAUGAAUAUCGGAGAUAGAAUUGACACCCCACAAAUUGGUCGUCACUUAUUUCUUCAGCAAGAUAUUUUCUUUACCAAAUUAACUUGAAGCCAUUUGUUUUAUCACUUGGCAUCUUCUCAAACAUGUAUUCCCUUUACCUAUAGAAUAAAUUCAUAUCCAUGAAACUGCAACACUGGACUACAAUCAAAGUGCAGCAUACUCAUAAUAAACUAUGAAUGGAAGUGCAGCUACAUUAGAGGGGCAGUAAUUAAAAUUGAUGUACACCAAACCAAGACACUGGACUGCAAUCAAAAUACUACUAAUAAUAAACCAUGAACUGCGAGACACAGUAGCAUCCUAGCAGCAGUACACUGCCUGAAGAUGUAUGCACCACUGCGCUAGACGGUCGGCGAUCACCACGGCACGGCCGCCAGCUGCCGCGCAGCCUGGUCGACGCUCACCAUGGAAGUGCAGCCACAUUAGAGGCAGUAGUUCCUGCAACUAUGAAGCCAUCUCCUGCAACUCCACGUCUAUCUCCUUCAGAGCGUUCUUGAUGCUCGACAGCUUUGACUCGAGUGCCCUCAACCCCUCUGUGGCGCGAGCCCGCUCCAGCUUUGCCGCAUCGUACCCCUCGUGCAGGUGAUCUGCUUUCUUGAGAAGGGUCAGGAGGCUGUUGACGCGCUCGCGCAUGAAGCCAACGUCCAUGCCCAUCAUCUCAAAGGACUCCAGGUCCUUCUUCCAUCGUGUGAGGUCCUCGCGGGAAGGAGAGGCGGCGGAGGCCCUGAUGCCCUUGGCUAUGCGAACCGUCUCGAUGAUCACUCCUGCAGCAAGCAAAGGUUCGAGGUUCUUCUGCAGACGCCCAUGGAGGAGAGACUUGCGGUCGUGGCAGAGCCCGUGGUACGCCCUACGUGUCUCGGUGGGGAGUUGUUUGUCAUCGAUGGCAGAACCGCCGACAAUGACCUUGAAGCUUCUGAAGCUUUUUACAACGUUGAAGUCGGUCCCUGGUUCUGAAGAUCCAAUGCCAUCUUCUUUGUUCUUGGCUGAUUUCGAACCCGGUGGCCUCCCUCUCUUGCUCUUGGCGGUUUUGAGACUUGCUGGCCUCCCACUCUUUGUCUGUAAAACAACAAAUCAAAGAGUUGGCCACAAUAAGAAAUUUAGACUCCCAUCCACAGCGCAAGGUGUGAAAUAAUAAAUGAAAUGUAAGGUCUUAUGUGUGGCUCAAAGUCAUCAAAACAUGUCUUAAGUGAAACAAUUUGAAAAUAUUUCAUGGAAUGCCUUACCGGCGGCUCAUAGUCAUCACCCUUGUCACUCUUGGCAUCGCUGCUACUGCCGCUGUCAAUCAACAUUGGCUUAUGCGCUAACGUACUGUUGGCUGGCCACCUUCUCUUCCUCUGAAAAUAAAGUAAACAACCAAAACAAAGCAACAAAUUCAGUAUGUGUUUACAUAUGCCGCAGAGAUAUCAUAUAAUCUGAGGCAUGAAAAGUACUUUUAUGAGAAUGACCAAAAUUUUCCUUACUUUGUAGGUCAUAGUGAUAGUCCUCACUUCAUAGCCAGAGCUUGGACGCUUUACUUGCUCAUUCUCCAACCUGCCGUUGUGAACCAAAGUGAGCUUUGGAUUCGCCAACGCCGUCUUCUGCCCUGUCUCUACCUUUGCAGACUUGAGGAAACACGAUGGCAUCCCUCCCUUCCCCUGGAAAAUAAUUAGGAAACCAAGUCAGACUACUCAUUGUUACGAGCAUAAACAUAAAUUGCACAAUAUUUUUUUUUACUGUACUAAACUUUAACUAGUGAAUGUAGCAAUAAGUAACAGUAGUAAUCACUAGUCAGUUCGUCAACGCCAGAAACAAACUCCCGCAACAGUACCCCAAUGACGGAUCACGGAAUGCAGUCUCGGAUAAAAAUAGACAAUCUGGCAUGUAAGGUAGCGCGUGUGUGUGGGUUGUGCGUGUCUAUAUUGUACUCGCUCUGUAAACUAAUACACUAAUACAGUAUUAAUUUACAGAGGGAGUACUCACUUAAUUAGAUUAUAAAAGACAUAUCAGCGAGUUUCAGCAAAAUUCAGAUGCGUCAUUUCUUGGCAUGUAAGUUAGCGGUACCAGCAGCAAAGAGAGAAUAACAAAAAUGUGUAUCUCAGUCUCAGGGAUGGAGAAAAUGAAGAGGACUCUUUUCUUGUUAUCCUUCUUAAGAAUCGACCAUCUUUGUCCUUUUUUUUUUCUGUGCCGGAAAGAGCUCACUAAAAAUUGUUCACAUAUAAAUAGAUAAAUAAACCAAAGCAUGAAGAAACCUCAUGAAAUCCUUGUAUAAUAAAUAAAAAGUGUAGUAAUAUUUAGUUUGUUGCCACAUUACCGAUGAGCACUAGAAAGAAAAUAAAUAAAUAACAGAUGAGCACUAGUAGAAGGCAUGGCUGAAGAUUCAGAAACAAAAGGUGAAAAGGCUAAUUAAAUGGUCGACAAAGAAAAGGGACUACUGAAGUGACCUGAGAACAAUUUCACUAACUUAAAUUUUUCCUAUGUUCAGUUCAUCAACUGACGACAAACCCGCAAAGUAAGCCAUAUGAAAGUGGCUUGCUGUUUUUAUCCGAAUCAGUCGAUAUAUGAUAACAUGAGUUCACAGGUACUCUGAAGCUUGGAGAAGGCAGAAUUAAAUGACUAAAAUGCAGCAAUGUGAGGUUGUAUUAUUGGGCGCAAAAUCAUCAUCGUCAUCGUCAACGUGUCUGCUGCUGCUACCACCGUUCCCGAGCUCGAAUGCUGUCUCCUGCCCGAUCUCGAAAUUGGCAGACCGCGGGGAAUCACCUACCGGCGUGCCUCGCUCCCUCUGGAAAUUAUGCGACAGAGCUAUCUGUAACUGUCACGCGAGUAAAUAUCAGUCAGAUCUAUAACCAAGAUAUACAGUCCAUGGACGUUUCUUUUCGUAAUCUUCUCAAGUAUCCUAUAGCAAAGGUGAUGUUCGAUCCAUCAAUCGGAAAAUUGAAAACAACCACAUGGACGUAUGUAUCGAUAGAAGUAGAUGUACAGAUAUGUAUGCAUAAAUAAAUGAAUGGAUGAAAGGAGUCGGAGAUGGAGAGGGGACUUGCUUUGAUGGGCUCGUCGACGACCGCCAUGGCACUUGCGUCUGAUGGGACCUCCGAUGCAGUGGGAGGAGGAGGAAGGAGAAGGGGACGGAGUCGGAGGAGUAAGGAGAUGAUAGUACUGUUACCACCUACUAUAACGGAAUGGGAAGGAGCUUGCCGACCGUUGGGCAGCGACGGUGAUCGACCGUUGGGAUUGUUUACCGUUUGGCACCUUUCCAAAAAAGCUAAAAAUCAGAUGAUUUGUUUCCAUCCAACCCAGAUAUAAAUUGAUACAUAUCUACUGUUAAGAGCAUCUACAGCCGGGACUUGGCAAAUCCGCUCCCUCAAACACCCGUGGACGCGUCCGGGCACGUCCGCAGGCACUGACCACAUCCGGACACUAUAUCUCAAAUCCAUACAAACUCAUGCAACUACGCCGACGCACACGCAUCGUCCGGCUACUCCAUCACACUACACUAAACAUGCCAUCGGACUAGCAAAAUUUGGCAUGUUUGGUUAUGGUGGAUUUUACCCACGACUGCCCUUGCCCUUCCCGGCACCCUUGUUGUCCUUCUUGCGGAAGUACAGGUCGAAGACUCAGUAUGGAUCGAGCCGGAUCUGCUCGUCGCCGGAGCUGUCCUCGUCGUCGCUGUCCUCCUUCUCCUCCUUCGGUGGCAGUCCAGCCAUGGCACGGACCGCCCGAUUCUUCUCUCGGGCGAGGGCGUGCGUGUUCCUCCGCAGCCGUUUCUUCACAAUGCGUGCGUGGAUGGCUUCUCCUCUGCGGCCGCCUGCGCCGCCGUAUCAGCCGCCUCCGCCGCCGCGAUACGGGCCUCGGCAGCCCUUAUCCUCUCGUUCCCACGGCGGGCUGCCCGUUACCGGUAGGACUCAUAGUCUGCCCGACCGGUGAUGGGGAAGGAGAGGUGUUCCGGCUGCCGGGACCGCGAGGAUCCAGCACCAGAGGACCCGAGAGCCCGAUGAGCCGACACUAAGUCAUCACGGCGAGCGAAUGGAUCCAUCCGCCAGCCGGGCGCUGUCCUCCCGUGAGCGGCGAAGUGCAAUGCGGACUGCCAUUGCCUCCUCCAACCCACACGAGAUGACACCGUAGGGAGGUUUGGGACAAUCCGGACUGGUCGAAGUCCGAUCUGCUGUCUGCCAUGGCAGAGAAGGCCAGAAACCGCCGAAGGUGAGCUCGGGUGACGGAGGGGAGUGGAGUGAAGUGGCUAGGGUUUGCUCCGGCAAGAGGAUAGGGACGAAUAUAAGUAGGGUCGGGUGGGCCAGCAUGGGCCGGGUCCGACGUGGCGGGCGUGCCCGGGCGCGCUCGGGUGCCCCCAUAUCCACCCCAUAUUUGGCCUGGAUAUGGUGGGUGCCGGUCAGCCUGGGCGUUUGAGGCCCGUUUGAGGCGUCCGUUUGGAUCGAAAAAAUGUGACCGGUUAGUGACUGGGCGGCGUAUGAGGCUGGUUUGAGAGGUCCAGCCGCAGAUGCUCUAACUACUCCAAUUUGUUGGUCAACCCUUUAUACCAUAGUUUUAAAAACCGGAUCAGUGACUAAACCAGUGAAGUUGUCGGUUCAAGUUUCCAUUGAUUAAUUGGACUGCCGGUUCACCGGUUCGUCAUCCGGUUUUUUUAAGGCUACAAAAAGUAUUUUAUUUAGCAGUAAAAAAAUGGUCAAAUAAGCUCAUUUACAUUUAUUUUACAGCAUCAUGUACUUUUUUUUGGGAUGAGUGGAUGACAGCAACGUGUGCACUAGGCCGCUGCCUGCUGGUAGUCCAGCAAACGGCCACACACGUAUUGAGACGGCCCACUUUGGCGUGUUUUUGUCCAAUCCGAUGUGAUUGUGGUGCGUUUACGGCGCCGCUAUGUCUAGGGAGAGCAACUAGUUAACAAACGCUCCUUUAAGAGCCUCGCAACGAUCAGUCAUUCGCCACGUGUCGCGUUCUGGAUGCUCCUUUCGGAUUUUGUUUAUUUUAUUUUUUCGCACGUGUUUUUGGCUUUUUAAACGGUUUUUCUUUCAGUUUUUUUUUACAUUUUGGUUUUUCCCCGGUCUUUCUUAGCUUUUCGAUCAAUUUUUUUUUCGAAAAAAACAAAUUUUGCGCGAAAAAAACGCGUUAUUUUUUCUUUCCCGAGAGUCACGGUUUUUCUUCCGCGAGAGGCACGGUUGUGCUAUAGCGAGAGUCACGGCCGUGCCUUUCGAAAACGGAAAAAACGCAUUUUCUGUUUUUUUUUUCUUUCGCGAGAGUCACGGUUUUGCUUCCGCGAGAGGCACGGUUGUGCUUUCGUGAGAGUCACGGCCNNNNNNNNNNNNNNNNNNNNNNNNNNNNNNNNNNNNNNNNNNNNNNNNNNNNNNNNNNNNNNNNNNNNNNNNNNNNNNNNNNNNNNNNNNNNNNNNNNNNNNNNNNNNNNNNNNNNNNNNNNNNNNNNNNNNNNNNNNNNNNNNNNNNNNNNNNNNNNNNNNNNNNNNNNNNNNNNNNNNNNNNNNNNNNNNNNNNNNNNNNNNNNNNNNNNNNNNNNNNNNNNNNNNNNNNNNNNNNNNNNGCACGGUUGUGCUUUCGCGAGAGUCACGGCCAUGCCUAUCGGAAAGCGAAAAAAUACGUGUUUUCUGUUUUUUUUCUUUCGCGAGAGUCACGGUUUUGCUUUCGCGAGAGGCACGGUUGUGCUUUCGCGAGAGUCACGGUUGUGCUUUGGUGAGAGUCACGGCCGUGCCUCUCGGAAAGGGAAAAACAAAACGCGUUUUUGUUUUUUUCUUUCGCGAGAGUCACGGUUUUGUUUUCGCGAGAGGCACGGUUGUGCUUUCGCGAGAGUCACGGCCGUGCCUCUCGGAAACGAAAAAAAAAC